GUGGGCGUUUGAGAUUUGAGGGAAGCUGCUCCUAGUACGAGAGGACCGGAGUGGACGUAUCUCUGGUGUUCCGGUUGUCACGCCAGUGGCAUUGCCGGGUAGCUAUAUACGGACAGGAUAACCGCUGAAAGCAUCUAAGCGGGAAGCCCCUCCCAAGAUUAGAUCUCACUUGUCUCUUGAAGACACUGAAGGGCCGUUGAAGACUACAACGUUGAUAGGCUGGGUGUGGAAGUGCAGUAAUGCAUGAAGCUAACCAGUACUAAUUGCCCGUGAGACUUGACCAU
This 284-nucleotide ribosomal RNA is filed under the name Candidatus Thiodiazotropha taylori. RNAcentral describes it as "partial 23S ribosomal RNA". It matches the Rfam family "Bacterial large subunit ribosomal RNA", at positions 2647 to 2925 of the family's 2925-position model. The record is from RNAcentral. Lineage: Bacteria; Pseudomonadati; Pseudomonadota; Gammaproteobacteria; Chromatiales; Sedimenticolaceae.